RNAcentral lists this ribosomal RNA (478 nucleotides) under uncultured bacterium. RNAcentral describes it as "partial 16S ribosomal RNA". It matches the Rfam family "Bacterial small subunit ribosomal RNA", at positions 28 to 523 of the family's 1533-position model. The record is from RNAcentral.
GACGAACGCUGGCGGCGUGCUUAACACAUGCAAGUCGAACGGUAAGGCCCUUCGGGGUACACGAGUGGCGAACGGGUGAGUAACACGUGGGUGAUCUGCCCUGCACUUCGGGAUAAGCCUGGGAAACUGGGUCUAAUACCGGAUAGGACCACUGCCUGCAUGGGUGGUGGUGGAAAGCUUUUGCGGUGCGGGAUGGGCCCGCGGCCUAUCAGCUUGUUGGUGGGGUGAUGGCCUACCAAGGCGACGACGGGUAGCCGGCCUGAGAGGGUGACCGGCCACGCUGGGACUGAGAUACGGCCCAGACUCCUACGGGAGGCGGCAGUGGGGAAUAUUGCACAAUGGGCGCAAGCCUGAUGCAGCGACGCCGCGUGAGGGAUGACGGCCUUCGGGUUGUAAACCUCUUUCAGCACCGACGAAGCGCAAGUGACGGUAGGUGCAGAAGAAGGACCGGCCAACUACGUGCCAGCAGCCGCGGUAA